This 497-nucleotide ribosomal RNA is filed under the name uncultured bacterium. RNAcentral describes it as "partial 16S ribosomal RNA". It matches the Rfam family "Bacterial small subunit ribosomal RNA", at positions 28 to 507 of the family's 1533-position model. The record is from RNAcentral.
GACGAACGCUGGCGGCGUGCCUAAUACAUGCAAGUUGAGCGCUGAAGGUUGGUACUUGUACCAACUGGAUGAGCAGCGAACGGGUGAGUAACGCGUGGGGAAUCUGCCUUUGAGCGGGGGACAACAUUUGGAAACGAAUGCUAAUACCGCAUAAAAACUUUAAACACAAGUUUUAAGUUUGAAAGAUGCAAUUGCAUCACUCAAAGAUGAUCCCGCGUUGUAUUAGCUAGUUGGUGAGGUAAAGGCUCACCAAGGCGAUGAUACAUAGCCGACCUGAGAGGGUGAUCGGCCACAAUGGGACUGAGACACGGCCCAAACUCCCACGGGAGGCAGCAGUAGGGAAUCUUCGGCAAUGGACGAAAGUCUGACCGAGCAACACCGCGUGAGUGAAGAAGGUUUUCCGAUCGUAAAACUCUGUUGGUAGAGAAGAACGUUGGUGGGAGUGGAAAGCUCAUCAAGUGACGGUAACUACCCAGAAAGGGACGGCUAACUACGUG